AUGAUGAGAACAGAACCAGUGCACUGGGCAAGGGCAUAUUUUGCAGUUGGUUCCAAAUGUGAGUCAGUGGAUAACAACUUGUGUGAAUCAUUCAAUCAUGAAAUUAUGGAUGCAAGGUUUUAUCGAAUAAUUUCCAUGCUAGAGAAAAUAAGGAAGAAAAUGUUUGCUAGAAUUCAAGAACAGAGGGCCAAAGGUGUGAAAUUUCAUGGAAAAAUAUGCCCUAGCAUAUUCAGAAAGUUGAAAGCCAGCAUAGCAAGAACACAGUUCAUGGAGGGCCUUUGGAAUGGCAAAGAUGGGUUUGAAGUGAGACUGGUAACUGGAGAAGAAGGUAAUACACUGUAA
This 342-nucleotide ribosomal RNA is filed under the name Triticum aestivum (bread wheat). Its description in RNAcentral is "partial small subunit ribosomal RNA". Lineage: Eukaryota; Viridiplantae; Streptophyta; Magnoliopsida; Poales; Poaceae. The record is from RNAcentral.